GACGAGCGCUGGCGGCGUGCCUAAUACAUGCAAGUCGAGCGGACGAUUCGAAAGCUUGCUUUUGAAUCGUUAGCGGCGGACGGGUGAGUAACACGUGGGCAACCUGCCCUGUAGACGGGGAUAACACCGAGAAAUCGGUGCUAAUACCGGAUAACACGAAAUGUCGCAUGACGUUUCGUUGAAAGGCGGCGCAAGCUGCCGCUACAGGAUGGGCCCGCGGCGCAUUAGCUAGUUGGUGAGGUAACGGCUCACCAAGGCGACGAUGCGUAGCCGACCUGAGAGGGUGAUCGGCCACACUGGGACUGAGACACGGCCCAGACUCCUACGGGAGGCAGCAGUAGGGAAUCUUCCGCAAAGGACGAAAGUCUGACGGAGCAACGCCGCGUGAGCGAAGAAGGCCUUCGGGUCGUAAAGCUCUGUUGUUAGGGAAGAACAAGUAACGUAGUAACUGACGUUACUAUGACGGUACCUAACGAGAAAGCCACGGCUAACUACGUG
Molecule: ribosomal RNA, 498 nt
Filed under: uncultured bacterium
Lineage: Bacteria
Description: partial 16S ribosomal RNA
Rfam family: Bacterial small subunit ribosomal RNA
Source: RNAcentral